This 2193-nucleotide ribosomal RNA is filed under the name Triticum aestivum (bread wheat). Its description in RNAcentral is "partial small subunit ribosomal RNA". Lineage: Eukaryota; Viridiplantae; Streptophyta; Magnoliopsida; Poales; Poaceae. The record is from RNAcentral.
AUGGGCUGCUACUUGUCAUGGGGAUGCUUGCUCCUGGUCCUCUGCGUAGUCCACUCCAUGCUUCCGAGUUCUUCAACUUGCUUAAGAGAGGAAAGGGCGGCCCUCAUGGAUAUUAGCUCUUGGUUCAUGACCGCGAAGUCCGAGGUUCCCAGUUGGUGGGGACACGGUGAGGACUGCUGCUCGUGGGAAAGGAUCACUUGCGACAAUAGCACGCGACGAAUAUUGCGUCUCGAUCUUCACCCGAUCUACCAGCAAAUCCCUAUCCAUAAUAGUGAUGGCUCUACAUUAUUUCAACCCAUGGAAGCUGCAUGCUGGAACUUGAACUUGGCAAUCUUUUCUUCGUUUCGGGAGCUUCAGCUGUUGGAUUUCUCUGCAAAUUUCGCUUGUUUACAAAAUUUCGACGGUCUCCAAGGAUUGAGUAAGCUCAAGUAUCUCAACCUCAGUGAUAACAGUUUCAUAGGCGAUAUCUCAGGAUUUGUCAACAAAAUGGUUUCUCUGGAGGUCAUAAAUCUGAACAGAAACAACAUGAGUGGGGUUCUUCAGAAUACAGGUUUAAACAAUCUCCAGAACUUGCGAGAACUGCAUAUGAGAUCUAAUCAAUUGAGUGGUAGCCUCCCAGCAUCCAUAUUUGGCCUUCCACGCCUUGAGUAUCUGGAUCUUUCAGAAAACCUCUUUGAAGGACACAUACCUAUAAACUCAUCUUGGAAGUGUUCCUCACUGCUUCAAACUCUCAGGUUAUCCAAAAACAAGCUAGGCGGUAAAUUUGAUUUCUUCUGGCUAAGAAACUGUACAAAGCUCAAACAAAUAGAUCUGUCCAGGAAUACUAAUUUGCUUGUUCAAGUGAAAAUGCAUGGCUGGGUACCUAAAUUUGAAUUGAGAACACUACUGCUCUCUUGGUGUAAUCUUGAUAAAAGCAUGCUUACAGAGCCACAUUUCCUACGCACACAACAUCAUCUGGAAUUUCUUGAUUUGUCCAACAAUGAUUUGCCAGGAAGCAUGCCUAAUUUUCUGUUAGCAAAUGAAGCGACACUAGCUUACCUGGAUCUUUCAAAUAACUCGUUAGUUGGAUCACUAUACCCCAGUUGGCAAAACCAAACUGAUCUUCAACUACUUAACAUAUCUCUGAACCGUAUUAAACGGCAGCUGCCGCCCAAUAUCAGUUCCAUGUUUCCCAAACUGUGGAUUCUCGAUGUUUCUCAUAAUAAUAUAUCUGGAGUUGUUCCAUCUUCAUUGUGCAACAUUGGCAGGAUUCAAAUUAUGGACCUAUCAAAUAACAACUUUGUAGGGCAGGUACCAUCUUGCUUGUUCACGAACUGUUCUGCAUUGAAUAUAUUGAAGCUCUCAAACAAUAAUCUCGGGGGCACGAUACUUGACAGGGCUAGUAACUUGUCAUUUUUGUCGGAAAUAUACCUAGACAACAACAAAUUUGAAGGGACUCUUCCUAGAAAUCUGUCUGGUAAUGUCCGAGUCAUGGAUUUACAUGGUAACAAGAUGUCUGGAGAAGUAGACAUUUCAUUAUGGAAUCUUCCUUUACUGGAAGCUUUGAGCCUUGCUAGAAAUAGUUUAAGUGGUCACAUUCAUCCAGAAAUGUGUAAAUUAACAAGUCUCCGACUGUUAGAUCUAUCUGAAAACUAUUUUGUCGGGCUUAUACCACACUGCAGCCGUACAUUACCACUCUGGUUUCUGAGUAUAUCUGGGAAUUCACUGUCAGGCUCCCCAGAUGCAUUUUUCAACAACUCCUUCAUUACAGCUUUGGAUCUCAGCCGUAAUCAGUUCACAGGCAACCUUGAGUGGACACGAUAUCUUUUUGAAAUCAAUCUACUUUUGUUAGGCGGAAAUAAGUUUGAGGGACAGAUCUCUUCAAAUCUAUGUCGUCUCCAACACUUGAGUUUAAUUGACAUCUCUCACAACAGACUCUCGGGUUCUGUACCACCAUGUAUUGGUGGCAUUCCAUUUGAAGACCCCGAAGCUUAUAAAUUCUUUUGGCCGACAACUACUGGUAUUAGUACAUUUGGAGAGUGGUUUGAAGGUAUGGACUUCUCAUAUGACAGCCAUUAUGUCCUCAGAGGUUUCACCUUCACAACUAAAGGGAAUCCAUACACAUAUGGACGUAACUUCUUCAUGUCGAUGUCUGGCAUUGACUUAUCAGCAAACAUGUUGUCAGGUGAAAUUCCAUGGGAGAUAGGGAAUUAA